RNAcentral lists this ribosomal RNA (486 nucleotides) under uncultured bacterium. Its description in RNAcentral is "partial 16S ribosomal RNA". It matches the Rfam family "Bacterial small subunit ribosomal RNA", at positions 29 to 507 of the family's 1533-position model. The record is from RNAcentral.
AUUGAACGCUGGCGGCAUGCCUUACACAUGCAAGUCGAACGGCAGCACGGGUGCUUGCACCUGGUGGCGAGUGGCGAACGGGUGAGUAAUACAUCGGAACAUGUCCUGUAGUGGGGGAAAGCCCGCCGAAAGCCGGAUUAAUACCGCAUACGAUCUCCGGACGAAAUGGGGGGACCUUCGAGCCUCUCGCCAUAGGGUUGGCCGAUGGCGGAUUAGCAAGUUGGUGGGGUAAAGGCCUGCCAAGGCGACGAUCAGUAGUGGGUGUGAGAGGACGACCAGCCACACGGGGACUGGGCCACGGCCCAGACGCCUACGGGAGGGACCAGUGGGGAAUUUUGGACAAUAGGGGAAAGCCUGAUCCAGCAAUGCCGCGUGUGUGAAGACGGCCUUCGGGUUGUAAAGCACUUUUGUCCGGAAAGAAAUCCUUGGCCCUAAUACGGUCGGGGGAUGACGGUACCGGAAGAAUAAGCACCGGCUAACUACGUG